GCAGAUCUUGGUUGGCGUAGCAAAGAUCUAACGGAAAAAUACUCAACAUGCAACGUUGGAUACUGGAGCGGGGAAGGAUUUCGUGCCAACGGCACUCGUACACGAGUUGUUCGGACACUGAGCACAACGUUACACCGUUUUGUUAGGAAAGUGAGGGUGUGUCAGCGCCCGGCUGGAGAGGGUGGAGCUAUGCAUGCUCUCUCUCUCCGCCGUGUCGCGUCUGGCCGCUACUGAAAAGGGGCAACAGAGAACC
Molecule: ribosomal RNA, 253 nt
Filed under: Trypanosomatidae sp. 20 ex Evandromyia evandroi
Lineage: Eukaryota; Euglenozoa; Kinetoplastea; Trypanosomatida; Trypanosomatidae
Description: partial 24S alpha ribosomal RNA
Source: RNAcentral